UUCAAGUUAUGUAUAAUAUGUUAAAAUUACCUUUCGAGCAAUUUAUUUGUUAUCGAAAUCGUCCACGUUCGCCGCGACGUUUUUUUUUAACCGGCUGGAUUAGCCCGAUUUAAUCCCGGAAGAUUCCGUAAACGCAGCUUUUAAACGCACUUUUGUCGCGAGACGCACACAGAAACGCGACCCUCGCGCCACCGAGGGAGCCCAUGGACCCUUCACUCUCCCUUGUAGCGAAUAAGAGGGAAAAACGAUCGCUAAUGUACACACAUAGAAAGCGAUUCGUUAAGGGAUACACAACGGACGCCACGAGGCGACUUGACGCGACAAAUGCGACGCGACGUCCUGGGACGCGAAUUCAUUUAAUUUAAAAACUUCGUUCACACGCCAAGAAGAAUUCUCGUCGAAAGAAUAACGAGUUUAAAUCGUUCUGGAAAUACGUAAGGUACGUUAGAAAAAUACGUGAUCCGACAUUGGAUGGAAACGUUUGGAAUGCGGACAAAUUGUUGUUACAUAGGUAAGACUCGUCGAAUAUCCUCAAGAGGGCGUAGGCGCGUUAAGUCAACCGUCGGAAUUGGACGGGUCAAGUUGCAACGAUGCGCCACGCAGUGAGAAUAUAUCGCAGCACGAGUUAUAAAUGACUCAUCCAUGUAAUUCAAGAAUCAAUAAGCGAAUAUAAAAAUAAUCGUAAUCUUCGAAAUUAAAUUUGUUUUAUGAUAAUAAAUUUUAUAUAUCGUAUAUCUAUCUAUACACAUAUACCUUUUUUUUUUUUUCAAAGAAUGAUCAUUUGAAUAAUUCAACGUAAACGAUGAUCGCCGAAAGGAAUUGAUUAAUUAAUUAAUCGAGGAAGAACGUGGCCAGAAUGCUCAAGAUGUUACGAUAUUGUUUCGAACGUUGCGCGUGGUGGAACGAUCAUUCAGAUGUAAACUGACGCGUAUUCGACGUAUCGUGUCUCGAGCGCCUCAUCACAGCUGUCGUACGUGAACCGUGUGUCUCGAAGCAAACUUGUGAUUGUUGUGUGUAAUAUGCGUUACGUGGAUACGAUACGAUAUGGAAGAUGCGUAUAUAAGUAUAGCAUGACUCAUCGUGCGAUAGCAACGUGUAACGGAAUAAUCGUAGAAAGUGUAUAUACACGCCCAUUCACAAAUUGAAAGGGAAAGAAAGUUUAAAAAACAAUUGCGGGUAUUAACAGGGGAGUGUAUAAGUACGGUGUGCAUCGAUAAUGGAUACUGGCACAAAUUGUAGGUUAUGUUCGAAAAAGAAAGGGAAACGAGACGAUGGAAGAAUAGCUUUAGUUAUUCGAUAAAAAAAAAAAAAAAGAGAAAAAAUAUCGAUCGACUAUAGGGAAAUAAUCAUGGAUAUCGUGAAUAAAAGAUCAUAAUGCGAUUCCCCCCUUUGAAAGAUGAUUAAGUUGAACUUGAAUUUGCUGAAUUAUCUCAAUUAAUGAUAAAAAAAUUAAAAUUUUUUUCUAUCUUAUUAUUUCAUUGAAUAAUAAUUCGUGUUAAAGUUGUUGAAAGAAAAAAAAUAAAAUGUUUCUCUCCACUCGAUUAUUUAUUACAUUCGAUAAUUGUUGAAUCAAGCUUGAUUCAAUUUAACCGAAUAUUACUGUACGAAGAAUUUUCGUCCGAGGCGAGAAGAUUUUAUACGAAAGAAUUCGUGUAAAAAAAAAAAGACGAGUUGCGUGUUUGUGAAACAGCCAACGAAAUUAGUUAAGAAGCAAUGGCACGAAGAAUUCG
Apis mellifera (honey bee) is the source of this 1730-nucleotide long non-coding RNA. RefSeq lists it as uncharacterized. The transcript is spliced from 3 exons. The record is from RefSeq and is a predicted model, not a curated record. NCBI's taxonomy places the organism in Eukaryota, Metazoa, Arthropoda, Insecta, Hymenoptera, Apidae.